ACGGGGAGCACCACAACAGGUGGAGCCUGCGGUUUAAUCGGACUCAACGCCGGGAAACUCACCAGAUAAGACAGCUGAAUGAUAGUCGGGCUGAAGACUCUACUUGACUAGCUGAGAGGAGGUGCAUGGCCGUCGUCAGUUCGUACUGUGAAGCAUCCUGUUAAGUUAGGCAACGAGCGAGACCCACGCCAACAGUUGCCAGCUCGUCCUCCGGGAUGGUGGGGACACUGUUGGGACCGCCUCUGCUAAAGAGGAGGAAGGAAUGGGCAACGGUAGGUCAGCAUGCCCCGAAUUAUCUGGGCUACACGCGGGCUACAAUGGGUGGGACAAUGGGUAUCGACACCGAAAGGUGAAGGCAAUCUCCUAAACCCAUCCGUAGUUCGGAUUGUGGGCUGCAACUCGCCCACAUGAAGCUGGAAUCUGUAGUAAUCGUGUCUCAAAAUGGCACGGUGAAUAUGUCCCUGCUCCUU
Molecule: ribosomal RNA, 470 nt
Filed under: uncultured Methanomicrobiales archaeon
Lineage: Archaea; Methanobacteriati; Methanobacteriota; Methanomicrobia; Methanomicrobiales
Description: bacterial SSU rRNA
Rfam family: Archaeal small subunit ribosomal RNA
Source: RNAcentral